CUGGGGUGAGUGUGAGUGUGAGAGCGAGAACAGCUCGGCAGGUCCCGAGGCGCUGGCUGGGGACUCUGCUGCGGAAAGUUCCCAGUCCCCAGCCGCAGGUAGGAAAAAUGCAUAACAAAGCAAAUAUGAAGGACAGCAAAACUGGGAAGCUCUUUCCUUGAUGCCAGACACAAAAUGGAAAGUAACCCUUUCUUGGGAGCUACACCUAGAUUUCUCUUGUCACCCGAAACCACUGAUGGAAGUGAUGGAUGAAGGUUCUGAAAGGAGAAAUUGAGAUUUGAAAGUUUUGGACAAAUCUGUUAUCAAAACGACCACACGGACACAUGCAGUCACGAUGGAGAGGACUGCUCAGUACUCAGAGAUCCUGAAUGUUUAUACAUAAUUGAAGAACUUACACUUGUCUCCCUUGGGGAAAAGUGGAAUGAAGAGGACUACCAGGGUAACAUUGGAUGCCAUGGUGAAGAUGGCAGCUGUCUCCUGACCAAUUGGAGGAGGAUUGUUCUACUGACCUUUUUACUGUUGCAGGUUCUAUACUGUAAAGAUUGUGACUGGUUGACUCAGGCUCAAAAUAUAUUUGAACUUACGAAUUCUGGAUGAAUGGUACACUCUCAGGAAGGAUUGCAGGAUCAAGAAAGUGUGGCUUCUGGGGUUAGACAUUCUGGUUUUAAGGCUGUCUAUCCUAAUUGUUAACUCUGGGCUUUGAGAGAAUUACUUAACCACCAUAACAGUACCAGUUCUAGGCCCUGGCAAGAGGAAACCAUUCCCUGGUCUUUAGAAAAUCCUAUGCAUCAAAAUCGCACAAAAAAGCAUAAAUAUAUUAGAUAACACCUAUGUGUCUCUAAUUGUCAUGCUAGUAAAUGUUUUAAUAACAGGCUUUCAAAAAUACAUUUAUGUGUGUUAGUAUUUAUAUACACACAAAUAUGUAUACAUAUAUACUGUAUAUGUGUAUUAUAAAUUUUAUUUAUAUAAAAAUCUUGUGACAUACAACUUAAAAAUAACAAAAUAAUUAAUGCUAUUUAUUGUAAAUUCUGUAUGCCCAGUUACUUUUCACAGAAUGAUUUCAAUGAUUUUCACUUAACUUUGAUGUAAGUAGCAAACUUAAGAGUGUACCGACUAAAGAGUGUAGUCCAGACACGAAUGUUGGCUGAUGUUUUUAUUUACACUAAUAAAAAGGCAGGUGAAAUAAUACAGACAUGUAUUGGAACUUCACUUGUUCAUCACUUAUGUGAGCAAAUUCUUUACUGAAUCAGACUGUAAAUUCAGAAUGACAGAAUAAUAUUUUCUAAUUUUUUGUUCUAGUCUCAAGGUAACAGCUAGAGAGAGGAUACACUUUAAGUUUAAUGUGCAUUACUAACAUUUUUUCCAUCACUUUUAAAAUUCUAAACAAUUAACAAAAUAAUAAAUCAUGCCCUUUGUUUUUAGUAGUGUAAGUAUGCUCAACAUGGUUAAUUUCAAAUGUCCAGUGUAGGAGAAGAUGAGCUGUAACACACGGUUUUAUGCCCCAUUGUACAGGUAAGAUAAAUGUAAAUAACCUUAAGUGUAUUGAACAGUAAAAUGUAAUAAAAUAACAGGAAAUAUAUGAGUUUUAAAUAUUAGUUUACUUUUAAUAUAAUUUCUUUAAAUUUAAGUUUACACAAUUUAAUUACCAAAAAUAUAUAUCUAUUUAAAGAUUCACUUGCAAAUGUUCUGAAAAUUUAAUAGUUCUUCUGAGCCUAUGUGAACGUACUUUAGCCCAUCCCUCCCUGUUGCCAUAUUGCAAUCUGUAGCUAAACAUAC
Nycticebus coucang (slow loris) is the source of this 1776-nucleotide long non-coding RNA. RefSeq lists it as uncharacterized. The record is from RefSeq and is a predicted model, not a curated record. The transcript has 6 exons. NCBI's taxonomy places the organism in Eukaryota, Metazoa, Chordata, Mammalia, Primates, Lorisidae.